Small nucleolar RNA from Larimichthys crocea (large yellow croaker), 81 nucleotides. The record is from Ensembl. NCBI's taxonomy places the organism in Eukaryota, Metazoa, Chordata, Actinopteri, Sciaenidae.
UCGACACAAUGAUGAUCCCAUAGUUCAGCAGAUAAACCAUGAAGAAUGACUAUUGUCUUUCGCUCCUAGCUGAUGUGUCGG